Molecule: long non-coding RNA, 603 nt
Organism: Daphnia pulex (common water flea)
Lineage: Eukaryota; Metazoa; Arthropoda; Branchiopoda; Diplostraca; Daphniidae
Exons: 4
Source: RefSeq, a predicted model, not a curated record
GCCUGAAAGAAUGGACUUUGCGUGAGUGAAAAUUGGAAAGCAAUGAAAAUUAUUAAUUAUACUCCAUGUAAAUUAUAUUCCCUACGAAAUGGAUCAGCAGACAACAGUCACAAAAAAAGGAAUCAAUUUGCAAAGACUGACCUGAUCAGCCUGGCUAGGCUCAGGUCAGUCAACUCACCUUUGACUCGACCUUAUUGCUCUCGGAUGUAAAGUAGGUGCAAUUUCGGUCGGAUUCUGACCCAGCCAUCCCAGCGCUAAGUCCAACUCAAAAGAAGAAUACACUUAAGUUUGUGAGCCGGCAAAAAACUGAACGAUCUCACUGAAUUCCGAUAAUGCCUUAAACAAUGAAUUGAUGGAUACGAGCAUCGCCAUCGACCAUACGGACGAAAGGCUUCUAAUAAGAGAACGCAAAAAGAUCGCUGAGCAGCCGAGAGAGCAGCAGCAAUAUGUUUGGCAAAUUAUAGAGGCUGCUUGAAUAGGAAAUAAGUUGACGCUUAAUGUAAAUAAUUUUUCGCGGACCAAUAGAAAGGCAGGUAAUAUAGCUGGUAAAGACAAAUGUGUUUUGAGACUGCCAAUCUCAUCAUCGGGAUGCCUGCAUUUCAA